This 459-nucleotide ribosomal RNA is filed under the name uncultured bacterium. RNAcentral's name for it is "bacterial SSU rRNA". It matches the Rfam family "Bacterial small subunit ribosomal RNA", at positions 28 to 481 of the family's 1533-position model. The record is from RNAcentral.
GACGAACGCUGGCGGCGUGCCUAACACAUGCAAGUCGAACGAAGUUUUUAUGGAAUGCGACUUCGGUCAAAUGAAGUUUAAACUUAGUGGCGGACGGGUGAGUAACGCGUGAGGAACCUGCCUUUCAGUGGGGGACAACAGUUGGAAACGACUGCUAAUACCGCAUAACAUCUUCUGGAGGCAUCUCUGGAAGAUCAAAGCUUUAAGUGCUGAAAGAUGGCCUCGCGUCUGAUUAGCUAGUUGGUGAGGUAACGGCCCACCAAGGCGACGAUCAGUAGCCGGACUGAGAGGUUGAUCGGCCACAUUGGGACUGAGAUACGGCCCAGACUCCUACGGGAGGCAGCAGUGGGGAAUAUUGGGCAAUGGACGCAAGUCUGACCCAGCAACGCCGCGUGAAGGAAGAAGGGCUUUCGGGUUGUAAACUUCUUUUAAGUGGGUAAGAGUAGAAGACGGUACCAC